GGAUUUGGGCGUUUUUAAUGGGAUUUUCCUGGGAAUUCCGGGUUUUUUUGCGGGAAUUCCGGGGAUUUCCGUGGGAAUUCCGGGAUUUUUUCCCAGGAUUUGGGGAAUUUUUGGGAUCUGGGGGGGGCCCAGGACCCCAAAAACUCCGAAUUUUUGGGAUUUCAGGGAGAUUUGGGCGUUUUUAAUGGGAUUUUCCUGGGAUUCCAGGGAUUUCCGUGGGAAUUCCAGGGAUUUCCGUGGGAAUUCCAGGUUUUUUUCCAGGAUUUUGGGAUUUUUGGGAUCUGAGGGAUCCAGGGGGGUCCCAGGACCCCAAAACCUUCAAAUUUUUGGGAUUUUAGGGGGAUUUGGCCAUUUUUAAUGGGAUUUUUGUGGGAAUUCCAGGGAUUUUCGUGGGAAUUCCAGGGAUUUUCCCAGGAUUUGGGGAUUUUUGGGGAUUUUUGGGAUCUGGGGGGGUCCCAGGACCCCAAAAACUCCGAAUUUGGGGGAAUUUAUUGGGAUUUCAGUGGGAUUUGGGCGUUUUUAGUGGGAUUUUUGUGGGAAUUCCGGGUUUUUCGUGGGAAUUCCAGGAUUUUUUCCCAGGAUUUGGGGAUUUUUGGGGAUUUUGGGAUCUGAGGGAUCAAGGGGAGGUCCCAGGACCCCAAAACCUCCAAAUUUGGGGGAAUUUAUUGGGAUUUCAUUGGGAUUUGGGCAUUUUUAGUGGGAUUUCCGUGGGAAUUUUGGGGAUUUCCGUGGGAAUUCCGGGUUUUCCGUGGGAAUUCCAGGAUUUUUUCCCAGGAUUUGAGGAUUUUUGGGAUCUGGGGGGGGUCCCAGGAGCCCAAAACCUCCAAAUUUGGGGGAAUUUAUUGGGAUUUCAUUGGGAUUUGGGCGUUUUUAGUGGGAUUUCCGUGGGAAUUCCGGGGAUUUCCGUGGGAAUUCCGGGUUUUCCGUGGGAAUUCCGGGUUUUUUUCCAGGAUUUGGGGAUUUUGGGAUCUGAGGGCCCCGGGGGGGUCCCAGGGGCCCCCCCAAGCCGUGCUCUGCCCCCCGCAGGUCUCGUGCCCCCCCGGGGAGGGCAGCGCCAAACCCUCGGCCGAGGACAUGACCUCCAAGGAUUAUUACUUCGAUUCCUACGCUCACUUCGGGAUCCACGAGGAGAUGCUGAAGGACGAGGUUCGCACUCUCACCUACCGCAAUUCCAUGUUCCACAACCGCCACCUGUUCAAGGACAAGGUGGUGCUGGACGUGGGCAGCGGCACCGGCAUCCUCUGCAUGUUCGCUGCCAAGGCGGGGGCCAGGAGGGUCAUC
This 1281-nucleotide long non-coding RNA is filed under the name Cyanistes caeruleus (blue tit). RNAcentral's name for it is "lncRNA (ENSCCEG00000002199.1)". The record is from RNAcentral. Lineage: Eukaryota; Metazoa; Chordata; Aves; Passeriformes; Paridae.